Molecule: ribosomal RNA, 497 nt
Filed under: uncultured bacterium
Lineage: Bacteria
Description: partial 16S ribosomal RNA
Rfam family: Bacterial small subunit ribosomal RNA
Source: RNAcentral
GAUGAACGCUGGCGGCGUGCCUAAUACAUGCAAGUCGAGCGAACGGACGAGAAGCUUGCUUCUCUGAUGUUAGCGGCGGACGGGUGAGUAACACGUGGAUAACCUACCUAUAAGACUGGGAUAACUUCGGGAAACCGGAGCUAAUACCGGAUAAUAUUUUGAACCGCAUGGUUCAAAAGUUAAAGACGGUCUUGCUGUCACUUAUAGAUGGAUCCGCGCUGCAUUAGCUAGUUGGUAAGGUAACGGCUUACCAAGGCAACGAUGCAUAGCCGACCUGAGAGGAUGAUCGGCCACACUGGAACUGAGACACGGUCCAGACUCCUACGGGAGGCAGCAGUAGGGAAUCUUCCGCAAUGGGCGAAAGCCUGACGGAGCAACGCCGCGUGAGUGAUGAAGGUCUUCGGAUCGUAAAACUCUGUUAUUAGGGAAGAACAUAUGUGUAAGUAACUGUGCACAUCUUGACGGUACCUAAUCAGAAAGCCACGGCUAACUACGUG